UACAGAGGGUGCAAACGUUGUUCGGAAUUACUGGGCGUAAAGCGCGUGUAGGCUGCUUCGCAAGUCGGAUGUGAAAGCCCUGGGCUCAACCCAGGAAGUGCAUUCGAAACUGCAGAGCUGGAGUCCUGGAGAGGAAGGCGGAAUUCUCGGUGUAGAGGUGAAAUUCGUAGAUAUCGAGAGGAACACCGGUGGCGAAGGCGGCCUUCUGGACAGUGACUGACGCUGAGACGCGAAAGCCAGGGGAGCAAACGGG
Molecule: ribosomal RNA, 253 nt
Filed under: uncultured bacterium
Lineage: Bacteria
Description: partial 16S ribosomal RNA
Rfam family: Bacterial small subunit ribosomal RNA
Source: RNAcentral